AAGUGCGAUCAUACCAGCACUAAUACGGAUCCUAUCAGAACUCCGAAGUUAAGUGUGCAUGGGCGAGAGUUGUACAAGGAUGGGUGACCCCUUGGGAAGUCCUCGUGUUGCACUCC
RNAcentral lists this ribosomal RNA (116 nucleotides) under Musa acuminata subsp. malaccensis (wild Malaysian banana). The record is from RNAcentral. Lineage: Eukaryota; Viridiplantae; Streptophyta; Magnoliopsida; Zingiberales; Musaceae.